GUGCCAGCAGCCGCGGUAAUACAGAGGGGGCAAGCGUUGUUCGGAAUUACUGGGCGUAAAGGGCGCGUAGGCGGCCUUCUAAGUCAGACGUGAAAUCCCCGGGCUCAACCCGGGAACUGCGUCUGAUACUGGAAGGCUUGAAUCCGGGAGAGGGAUGUGGAAUUCCAGGUGUAGCGGUGGAAUGCGUAGAUAUCUGGAGGAACACCGGUGGCGAAGGCGGCAUCCUGGACCGGUAUUGACGCUGAGGCGCGAAAGCCAGGGGAGCAAACGGGAUUAGAUACCCCAGUAGUCC
This 292-nucleotide ribosomal RNA is filed under the name uncultured bacterium. RNAcentral describes it as "partial 16S ribosomal RNA". It matches the Rfam family "Bacterial small subunit ribosomal RNA", at positions 505 to 796 of the family's 1533-position model. The record is from RNAcentral.